Long non-coding RNA from Symphalangus syndactylus (siamang), 8415 nucleotides. RefSeq lists it as uncharacterized. Lineage: Eukaryota; Metazoa; Chordata; Mammalia; Primates; Hylobatidae. The record is from RefSeq and is a predicted model, not a curated record.
AGUGAUUCUCCUGCCUCAGCCUCUCAAGUAGCUGGGAUUACAGGCAUGUGCCACCACACCCAGCUAAUUUUUUUGUAUUUUUAGUAGAAACAGGGUUUCACCAUGUUGGCCAGGCUGGUCUCAAACUCCUGACCUCAGGUGAUCCACCUGCCCCAGCCUCCAAAAGUGCUGGGAUUACAGGCAUGAGCCACCUUGCCCAGCCUUUCCUAGAAUGUUUUAUGCUGAAAUAUGACAGAAAUGAACCCAGGGACAGGGCUCACAGCCCUUCUGCACUGCGCAUAGAACUCACUCUUCACCACUUGCUCCUGUGAGGGACAAAAAAGAGCACAGCCAAAGGAAAUGUAUUCCAAUCCCCAGGCCACCUCAGAUUAGCUGUGACUUGAGGCUCAUCCCUUCGCCUUCUGGACCCUGCUUUCCUCAUCUGUAAAGUAGGAACAAGCAGAUAGUGCAACGUCUAAGAUCCAGGAGGAUGAAAUAGGGUAAUGUACAGAUAAGCUGAAAAUGUUUGUGAUGAGUGAAUGUGCCUCCAGUGGAAGAGCCUGUAUCCAGGCAUGGAUAUGUCUGAAUCUCACAGAUGGGUCCACAUCUGAUGGUGUCAGAUCUCUCCAGAAACCACCUCUACUCAAUUCAGCAAAUGUGCUGCCCCAGGUCAUGUUCAGGUCUCUGGAGCCUUGUCACUGAGGGGCUUGCAUCUGGUGGGAGAGACUCAGGGCAACAGCAGACUGAAGCCAGGGACUGAGAGAUGACCAAGGGGCAGUAGGAGCACAGGAUAUGGGGCAUCUGUCAUUUCUCCCUCCCUGGGGUCUCAGGCUCACUAAGGCCCGAGAUUGGGCAGGGCAGGCAGAGGCCAUGGUCCUCAUGCCUACAGAACAGCUCUGCAGAAGAGCCAUGUCACUUUUGGGGAGGCUUGGGGCAGGAAGUUUCACAGGUGGGGAUAUGAGAGCCUGGAAGUCACUGUGACCUGCCCAAGAUCUCCCAGGAAGACAGAACUGGAGAACCUAGAACUGGGCCUCCAGAAGCCCUGGCCAGCCCCUUUGCAGAAUCUGAAUCCAGUUUUUAGAAAAGCGGGAAUCAGAGGCCUAGGUUCUUAUCCCAGCUCUGCUCUGUGACUCGAGGGAGCUGCCCCAUCUCUGGGCCUCAGUUUUUAUACCCAUGAGUGCAGGCCACUCCAGAUUUGACCUAGGCACCCAAAUUCAGGCAUGCAGCCCCUGAGCACCAGAGUCCUGAAAACCUGGGCACUGACUGCUGAGAGCCUGGAGGAGCUGUCAACGUCUAUUUUCACCCCUCUGCUGAAUGGGACUGAAGAGGCUGAGGGAGGAACAGCCUUCCUGCUGUCAUGCCCCUCUGAACUCCUCUGCUCAGUCUGUGAGCUCCUCUUCCUCCUGCCUACUUCAUUCCCGGGAACUCCUCGGCCUGCUUCUGGCCUUAUGGACUUGUUCCUCCAGGAAGCACCCCCUCCUCCUGGGAGGGGGACCUCCAAGCAAGUUAAGGUGAACGUGUGCUGAGAGAGGCAACUCCACCCAACGGCAGCAGCGUGUGUGCCUGAGGUCACCAAGAAACCAGACAGAAAACACCAUUGGGGGAUACCACUGGGGAAUUGGAGGGCCUUGAGAGGUUUCACCCCCAAAUGCCUAUGAAUCUCAGAGCCACUCCCAGAGAGCAGGUGAGGUCCCUUGUGCCCUGGCCUGGGGCUCCUGGCUGGUGGGGAGGGGAGGUGGGGCUGGGGCUCACAGUAGGCACGGCCGAGGUCCCACUCCUUCACUGUCCGGUCGCGGCUCCCAGUCACUGCCUGGUGCCUCGUUAGCUUGAAUUUGGCAGCUGUCACCUUAUCCUUGUGUCCAGACAGUGUCUCCUGUACCCCGGCCCCAGGUACGGAUCAAGAGUUUGGCCAAGACCCCAUAACAGGCCCCCUAGUCCUGAGGUAUGACCUCUGACCCCCAGGCAGCCUCCCCAGUCAGGCCUCACCUUGGACUGUGCCUCCCCCACCUUCCAGAGCUGGGCAGCCUGGUUGUAAGUUGCUGCUAAAACCUGGUAGCCCUGGAGAAAUGGGAGAGGAAGUGAGAGGUGCUAAGCCGGAGGCAACAUCGUUCGGGCCACAGAAUGAGGCCAGGGGCUGCCCCAGAGCUUCCCACGGCCCAGGUCACCAAGGCAGGCAGAGGAGCCUCCGGCCCAGGGAGAGCCUGGUUCUAGGGUAUCCAUGCUGCGCCCUCAGGUCCUACAGCCCCCACCUGCCCAGUGUGGAGAUCAGAGGGGGCACAAUCCCAUGCCACUGGGGCAAAGUUCCUUACCGAGGGGUCAAAGUCCACACUGGUGAUGCUGCCACCAGCUCCCUCCAGGGUCUGGUUGGCUUCCAGGCGACCUGGGAGAACCAGGAGAAGGGACAGUUGAAAUGAGGUCUUAACCUCACAAAAUGGAGGAAUUGGGAUUGAGAGCGGAAGAUCAGUUCCUGCUCCACCCCCCCGACACACCCCCAGGUUAGAAGACAGAAUCGCUGGGUCUGUUCUGCGGGCCUGGGCUGGAGACUACACCUCCCCUAACUGCUGGCAGUGGGUCCCAGGGACAGCUAGUCAUUUCACAGACCAGGCUAGAGAGGACCAGAGAGAAGGGACUACGCAGAGCACGCAGCAAGCCAGGAUCAGGCCAGCCAGAAACUUGCCUUUUCUAGGAAGCCCCCAGGAGCCAGCUCUGACUCCCCAGGACACCCCCUCUCCAGAGCACAGAGCUUGGGACAAGGCCAACAGUUCAUACUUGUCUCUUACCUGAGUUCUGAGAGCUCAAGUGAUGCCAGAAGAGGGUCACCUGGUAGACUGAGGGACCUGCUCUUCAAGGGCCUGUCCCUGUAGGACCUCAUGAUAGGGGACCCCCACCAACCCCCAUCAGGGACCAUCUGAACUCAGCCCUCCCCAUUCUGCAAAUCUGGACCCUAGGAGCCAGGAGGCUCCACCCUUCUUCCGAACAGUGAACCCAGAGUCUCACUCUUUCCAAGGCAUUGUCUACACUGCCCACAGAAUAUUCCAGAUGGAGAAACACAAAGAGAUCCAAGACCUCUGCCCACCAAGGAGUGAGCUGAGGAGUGGGUCUGGAGAGAAGCACCGAGUUGGCCUGCAGGGGAGGGCUCCUUACUUCCAACAACAUUCCAGAGGUGGAUCAGGCGGUCAGCCCCUCCAGUGGCCAGGAGGCUGCUGUUGGGGCCAAAACGAACAGCAUUGACCUCAGAGAGGUGGGCAUCCUGUGGGGAAAGGGGAGGUUGGUGCCCCGGCCCUCCCCGCGCAUGUCUCUGUGAGUGCUCACAGGCCCUCUCACCAGUGCCUGUGCAGACACAGCCUGCUGCAGACGUGGUAUCCCCCUUUCCCAGUUUCUCUGUCCACACUUUGAGUUUCAAACCCGGCCCACCAGGUGUUCUCACCUCUGCCUGGACCCCUGCAGCAGCCUCCAUGCUAUGCUACUCUACUCUCCUGCCUGGCCUCCCGGCCUCCCGGCCUCCCAGCCUCCUCUCUCUCCCUCCCCGGCUCAUGCCCACAUCAUAACAUGCUUGAGUGGCUCCCACCACAGGCUGUGGGAGGCAGCCUCCUGCUCUUGCUGAGGAGCCCAGCCUUGCUUCCCUGGACUCCUGGGACCACCCCUGGUGCCGAGACCACCCCUGUGCCUGCACUCCCUCACCACUGCCCCACCCAUGUGGCUCAGCUCCUCCCUUACCAGCAUAUCCUGAGCCCGGGUAGGAAGUCGGGCGGCCACACACACAGGGAUGAUCUGGUAUCGCUGCUCAGGGGCUCCCCCAAUUGAGUGACCUCUCCUCUUCUUAAAACUAGGGUAAGGUGGGUUGGGGUCAGGAGGGCAUUCAGCAAGGCCUUCUCAGGUGGGAGCCUCCAGCUCCCCUGAGGCAUCAACCAUAGGAAGCAGACAUGGCAGGCGGCAGAACAUAGCCCCAGGGAGCAGCGAGCGCAUUCCCCAACCCAGCCUCAACCCCAGGGGUUGGUGUGGAGACGGGGUGGGGAGCACACAGAGGCAGACACAGGAGCAGGGUAGGGUUGGUGGGUGCAAAGAAACCGCAGGGCUGGGGUUUCAAUCCCAGUCUUGCCACUGCUUGGCUCUGUGACUCUGAAUGAGUCCCUGACAUUUUAGAGCAUUUUUCCCAAUUGAGUAGGAGCUCCUGCCCUGCCUGAGGCUGGAGCUCUUGGUCCCCUGUGAUGACCUUGGAUGAAGACAGACCCUUGUGAGGACAGAACCUGGAAGACAGCUGAACCGGGGCCGGGGCUGAGGCCAUUCACCUGGCUCCUGUCUCCAAGGCCCAACAGACUCACAGGCAGACAGCUGCGCAUCACAGGGAUGGACAGGUCGAGGCACAGACAGACCAAGCCUGGGCUGGGGAGCCCAACACACACGUGGGUGCACACACAGGCACACACACUUACUCCAGAAGCCCCUUCACCACAUCCACACAGUGGAACAGCGUCAGGGAGGUGGCUGAGGCAGACCUGAGACAAAACCGAGAGAGAUGAGCUAAGGGACUGGCUGGUGUGUGUACAAAUGGCUGUCCAUCAUCUCCACACUUUGCCAGAGACCUGGAGGCUUGUAACCUCUCAAGUCUGGGAUAACAACUUGACUUUUCUCCAAGACCAGGAUACUAGGGUGACCCAGACCAGUCCCAGGAAGGUCGGGGCAGCAAUGGAUUUGGUAAUGAAAGUCUCCCAAGGUCUCCCUCAUGAUGGGAAGAACUGCCUUACCCUACAAGUACCCACCAACAAAAGUUCCUGGGAAGCUGAGCUGGGGCCUACAGGGAGGAGAGACACUGAAGAUUCCCCCAGGCUGGGGAUGGGAGGAGGGGGAAGCCUAGGCUCGCUGGGUAACCUCAGCAAUGCCCAGGAGAGGGUGUGUCCUGCAAUGACUUGGCCCACAAGGGCUCCCAAGGACUUUGGGGACUGGUAUCUCAUGCCCCUCCCCACGGUUUCUUCACUGUCCCAAGGCCUGGACAACGGGGACCUGCAAGGAAAGACUGAGAAGAGGUGUUAGGCUGGAGAUUGGGGCCCGGAGGGGGCAGCCUCAAUGACAGGCAAAUCAAGAAGGAUAGAGGAGACCCUGCGGAGAGACACCCAAGGUCUGAAGCCCCAAUCAGGUCCCACAAGUGUGAGCACACAUCUACACAUGCUCAUAUAUUCACACACACAGACGGGCUCAGUCAAGCUUGUACACACCUGUGGCCUCAUGUCCCUGCGGAUGCACAUGCUUGCACACGUAUGGCUGCGCACACAUGCCUGGCAUGACUGGGCUCUGGGCUUCGCCCACAGGUUCUCUCCUGGUGACAGCUAUUCACAAGCCUGACACCCCACCCCCAGAGCUCUGAUCCCAAGAAGGAGGGAAAGGGUUGAGGGUAGGGGUUGGGGGAGUGAGAUGGAACUGACCCCAAGUGUCUCCAGACAAUGGAGGUCAGACUAGCCCUGGGAGAUCUGAGCUUUCCGGCCUCUCCUCAAGCCCCCUCCCAACCCAAGAGCUGACUCCAAGGUCCAAGAGGAAGACCCUGGCAGCCUCUGGGGUGGGGCUCAGCUCAGAGCUCUGAGACCGUCACCUGGGUCCUCACCUGAAGGGCCUCUUCCACUUCUCACAAGCUUCCUUCUCCAGGGGUUCUGGCUCAGGGGCCAGAGCCAGAGUCUCGGUUCUCUCCCUCAUCCCAUCGCCUAGGGUGUCCGGGCCCCUAGGAGAGGUAAUGAAGCUCAGAAAGGCCAAGGGACCAAGCCAGCCCCUCCCGACCCCAGCACAGGACACGUUGAAGACAGGAAUUCCCAGUGAUGAGGGUUCUGUGUGGGUACACGUGCAGCGGUCACGCAUGCAGGCUCCUAAGACCACUCGGUCCUCUGCAAGUGUCCCGUGGGCCCCGCCUACUUGGCGCCUCAGGACGGGGCUGUGCACAAGUACAGUCGGCAGCCUGGGUCGCCGCAGGCAGGCGGGUGCGGGAGGCAGAACACAAGGGUCGGACCGGCCCAUCCCCACUCUUACUCGCUGAUGCUCACGGUCCGCUUGGCAGCCUUCUUCAGCUCCUGGGACACCCGCGCCUGCUUGGCCCUUGUUGGGUAAAAAGCAUCCUGAGACCCUGGCGCGGCGCCUCGCACGCAGGCGGGGCUCGACCCGGUCCCUUCCUCCAGGGGGCGGCUGCCGCCCCGCUCCCUUCCAGACACCAGCGAGGCCCGACUCCUCCCUGAAGGGGCGGGGCCUUUCCUCAGAAGGGGCGGGGCCUACUCCCUCACCGCUCCCGGCGCUCGUUGCGCAGGUUGCGCUCGGCUGCGGCGCGCGCCUUGCGCUGCACGAGCCUCUCCAGCAGGUCGCGCGCCUCCUCCUGGAGCCUGCGCAGUGCCGCCUCCCGGAGCCCGACGUGCGCGCGCAGCGCCUCGUAGGCUGCCCGCUGCACCGCGUUCUGCGCCCGCCACGCCUCCACCUGCUGGGCCUUCUGCGCCCGCGCCUCUCGCAGCUGCGCCACGCGGGCCUCCAGGGCCGCCAGCCUGGAGGAUGGAAAGAGCGGAUAGCGGGUCCCAAGCCUCCCCCGUCACUGCCCAGUGGGAAUCUGCCUCGGAGCAGAGAUAGACCUGCCCAUGCCAAACGCGGCUAGCCGGGUGGCUAAGCCAGGUCUCCACCAAGCCUUCGCCCUCAGAGCCCAGCCGUUCGGUCCUCUGGCACCAACCGAUGGGCUCGGGGGGACGUAGGGAAAGCCCUCGGCCCGCGCCAUUCCCCCCGCCUCCCGCAUAGUUGGCCCCGGGCCUCCCUGAGGUGGGCACGGUCCCUCCCGCCCCCGCCCGCGCCUCACCUGCUUUGCCUCUGCUGCAGCUCCGACUCCAGGGUGCCCAGGGCCGCGCUCUUCUCCACCACCUGGUAGGCCAUCUGGGGGCGGACAGGUGGGCACGGCAGCGCUGAGGCCCCUCCAGGCCUCCAGUCCCUCCCGGGCCGAAGGCGCUAAGGGACAGUCCGCUGCUCCCCUGCCCGCCCCCUUCCUGAAAAGCAAGCUGAGCCCCACACAGGUUUGGGACCUUGCACAGGGACGCGCUGCUGCUUGUGGAGCAGUGGAAGGCCCUUGGGCUCUGGAGUCAGCCCUGAGUCCCAAUCCUCGCAGUGCUGCUUCAUUUCUCUGCGACCCUACUAGGAACCUCUCUGGCAAGAGCAACCGGCUCCACUGCCUCGCCUGAAGAGUGGGAAGCCAGCGCUCGGCUCCCAGCGCCAUGCAGAACCACUGCGAGGACUCCUAGCGCAGAGGCUGCCAAAUGCCCAUCCGGCCCUCGGGCGCCAUGAUGUUCCCAGCAGGCUACACGCUCCUUCCAUCCUCACCACACCGGGAGGCUGGUACUGCCACUCUCACUUCACAGACAAGGACACCGACAGAGAGGUUUAAGUGUCUUGCCCAAAGUCACACAGCUAAGAGAUUUGGGCCCAAGCCACCUAACUGCAUCACCCUCCAGGCUGGUCAGGGGAAUGUGAGUUCUGUUCCCCACCCCUCCCUGCUGGCUUCCUGGCCUCACCCAACCCAGGCCUGCCCAAGCACAGGUCUCAGCAGCGAGAAUCCCUGCGCAGAGGCACACAAGGCUAAGAUCAGGCAUGGAUUCGGGGAGCCAGGGCCCAGACUCAAUAUGGGAACAGCCCUGGCAGCCCAGGAGAGGGGGUGAGGGUCAUUUCAUCUGCACCCCCGCCUCACUCGUUAUGCCUUCAACCCAGAGCCAAGCAGGGUCGGUGGGAGAGACGGACCCCAGGCAAGGCAGCUCCCACCAGUGUGACACGAGAACAUCAGGGCCAGAGGCGCCUCUGGCCCAGGCCAAGGCUGGGGGCUCUUGUUGCUAAUCUGUUCCUGUGUUCUCACGUGGGCCUGGUGAGGACAGACUGAGGAGCAAGGUUGGCGCUGCCACCUGCACUGACAUGACGCCCUAUGUGAGUGAGUCUGCGGAGAAGGAAUCUGCACAUGCGGGUUGGGGCACCUUUAUUCAUAGUUGGCCACAUUUAUAACAUAAUUCUUUUCACCACUGAGCAAUCUGAUCACCACCUCCACUUUCUCACCUGUCACUUGCUUUCAUUUAUGUUGUGUUGUACCAUUCAAAAUUCAAGUAGUAGAGGUGGAAAACAGAUUAGUACUUGCCAGGGGUUAGGGAUGGUUGGGGGGAGAGGGGUGAAUGUGACUAAAAAGGGGUAGCAAGAAAGAGAUCUUUGUAGUGGUGAAACAGUGCCAUAUCUUGACGGUUACACAAAUCUACACGUGAUAAAAUGACAAAGGACAUAUACACACUUCAUACCAAUCCCAGUUUCCUGGUUGUGGGUACUAUAGUUAUGUAAGAUGUAGCCAGUAGGAGAUGCUGGGGGAAGGGGAUGCAGGAACUCUGGACUAUCCUUGCAACUUCCUGUGAAUCUAUAAUUAUUUUAAAAUAAAAAGUUAAUAAUAAUGAUAAA